CUUGUACGUCUUUUCUUCCUCUCUCUCCUUUCUAUCCCUUGGCACUUCUCCUUCCUAUCGUCUCUUGCCCUAACCUACCAUCUUAACCCUCCUACCCAUGCCUUCAUUCUUGUAACCCUUUUUUUUCUCUUUCUCUCAUUCCCGCACUCUUAACUAACCUCGCCUUCUUUUUCCUAGCUUCGUCAUCUCUUCUCUUUUCACCCUCACUUUUCCUCCUCUGCACUCCCCUUCGCCCCUGGCACCACGUGCAACGAGAGUGGAAGCAACUUCCACCGUCAUCAGCUCAUGACUAAGACUACCACAUCAUCGACCUCAACAUCGAGGACAACGACUACACCGACCAACAUAGACUCGGUUCACUGCGCUCGGUGACCACGCUGGAAGCAGCAACAGCGACUACCAAACGGAUGUAUUGACAGUUUGCUGUUGGUCACUCCGACCGACAAGUGCUUGACUGUGGGGGGCUCUACUGCUGGGGGAAGCGGCUACCAACGCUAAUGCUGCACGUGACUACGACUAUCAUCAACUGAUCUCAACAACAGGAAAGCACAAUGCCCACGCCGACCAACGCAUAAACCACUGUACUGAUGGUGGUCAGUGACUACGCCGAGUAAAGCAACAGCGGCUACCAAAAGGGAAAUACUAAAAGUUUCCCUGUUGUUACUCCACCAACUCCUUCUCGACUAACGGGACUGGUUUGAAAGACUGGCGUGACCACCACUGCCAUCUACGUGGCUGGCUCAUGCUGCACGUGACUACGACUAGCACACCAUCGACCUCGACAACAGCUGGCUACGAAAGGACAGCGACUACGCCAAACAAAGCAGCGGCAGCUAUCCUAGGGAUGUAUUCUUUUCCUAUUCCUCUAUUCCUAUUCCUUGCUAUCACUUGCUACAUCGGCAACCAUACUUUGAA
This is a long non-coding RNA of Pomacea canaliculata, 915 nucleotides long. RefSeq lists it as uncharacterized. NCBI's taxonomy places the organism in Eukaryota, Metazoa, Mollusca, Gastropoda, Architaenioglossa, Ampullariidae. The transcript has 3 exons. The record is from RefSeq and is a predicted model, not a curated record.